CCACAUCAACGGAUAGGGGGCGUAACAGUGAUUAAACUGAUAACAAUAGUACUAAACACACCACUCCUAUCUGGUGGCACAUUAGAUUGCACGCGCAGUGCCCCAAAUUUGUUGUGAUCUGUGAGUAAGGUAAACGGUUAUCCAUACAAGUAGGUUGCAGCUUUUUGAGGGCCCACACCACCGCUAUGCACUCCUUUUCAAUGGCAGUGAAUAUACUUCGCUGUGCAAAAGUUUACGGCUUAGAUAAGCCCCGGGUUGCUAGCCACCAUCUGCUCCGACUUGGCUCAAUACUGCUCCCAAUCCAAGCAUAGAAGCGUCUGUAUGGCCGAGAAAGUGUUUAGUUGGAUCAGGAGAAGAAAGUACAGGUGAUUUAAUGAGCGCCGUCUUGAG
This is a non-coding RNA of Pelobates cultripes (western spadefoot toad), 390 nucleotides long. Lineage: Eukaryota; Metazoa; Chordata; Amphibia; Anura; Pelobatidae. The record is from the annotation of a GenBank genome assembly.